GAAUCAAACAAUACGGCCUGGGUGGUAUUUAUGGAGCAUCUGCUGUAUAUCCUGGGCAGUGUUCUGGGCCACGAGAAUGAAGUCAUCAACAGGUCGUUGUCCUUAUAAGAAGGACAACCCUGUGGGGAUUCUACAACUCAUUCUUCAGACAAACCUUCUGGAAGCCUACCUACUUUUAUUCUGGUGUUUGCCCUGGUAGCAAUUUAACUGUCACUUUAAGAAGACGCGAAUGGGGUUGGUGUCUCUGGCUUUUGAGACUUCAGGGCACCCCUUUCUUGGAGAGAAAGAUACUCCUUUAUCAGGCCAGAGAGCUGAAGACCUGUUGGGCUUGGGGCCACUCCCUUUAAUAAAGAAACCCACAUCCUA
Homo sapiens (human) is the source of this 366-nucleotide long non-coding RNA. NCBI's taxonomy places the organism in Eukaryota, Metazoa, Chordata, Mammalia, Primates, Hominidae. The record is from Ensembl.